AGAAAUACCAGCAUCACGGAGGCUGGCGACUAUGGAGGCGAACGCUAACCCAAAGACUGGUAUAACAUAUGCGAUGCUUCAAAGGCCAUUUCUCGCUGUCCAGACCAUCUCCUCCAAAAACCUGCAACGGAGAACCCCUGGCUGUUGAAGAUGGACUUAAGAGAUAGAAAAAGACAUGGCUCUGCAUACUCAUAUAAUCAUGUAUAUUAUUUGUACUCUCAAUUCCUCUAGUUUUGUCAAAAUCAUAUAUCUGAUUUUGACAAAACUAGAGGAAUUAGAAUAACAAUGUUCAGAGUAGAUACUUCAUUUGUCCGAGUCCGUACUGUUUGUACAGGCAGUUUUAAAUAUGAAACUGAAAUUGUUUUUAUGCAAAAUUUUAUUGAAUGUACUUGCAUGAGUUCAUCUAUGCUUGAAGUAUUACAAAAUAAAUUACCUAAGACAAA
Poeciliopsis prolifica (blackstripe livebearer) is the source of this 443-nucleotide long non-coding RNA. RefSeq lists it as uncharacterized. NCBI's taxonomy places the organism in Eukaryota, Metazoa, Chordata, Actinopteri, Cyprinodontiformes, Poeciliidae. The record is from RefSeq and is a predicted model, not a curated record. The transcript is spliced from 2 exons.